GAUGAACGCUGGCGGCGUGCCUAAUACAUGCAAGUCGAGCGAACAGACGAGGAGCUUGCUCCUCUGACGUUAGCGGCGGACGGGUGAGUAACACGUGGAUAACCUACCUAUAAGACUGGGAUAACUUCGGGAAACCGGAGCUAAUGCCGGAUAAUAUAUUGAACCGCAUGGUUCAAUAGUGAGAGACGGUUUUGCUGUCACUUAUAGAUGGAUCCGCGCCGCAUUAGCUAGUUGGUAAGGUAACGGCUUACCAAGGCAACGAUGCGUAGCCGACCUGAGAGGGUGAUCGGCCACACUGGAACUGAGACACGGUCCAGACUCCUACGGGAGGCAGCAGUAGGGAAUCUUCCGCAAUGGGCGAAAGCUUGACGGAGCAACGCCGCGUGAGUGAUGAAGGUCUUCGGAUCGUAAAACUCUGUUAUUAGGGAAGAACAAAUGUGUAAGUAACUAUGCACGUCUUGACGGUACCUAAUCAGAAAGCCACGGCUAACUACGUG
Molecule: ribosomal RNA, 497 nt
Filed under: uncultured bacterium
Lineage: Bacteria
Description: partial 16S ribosomal RNA
Rfam family: Bacterial small subunit ribosomal RNA
Source: RNAcentral